This is a non-coding RNA of Erythranthe guttata (spotted monkey flower), 3244 nucleotides long. The record is from RefSeq and is a predicted model, not a curated record. Lineage: Eukaryota; Viridiplantae; Streptophyta; Magnoliopsida; Lamiales; Phrymaceae.
UUUGAUAGCUUAAUUAUGAAGAGCUAUAACUUGUUUUAAUGGUUUAUUCUUUAAAUUUGUUUGAACAGGUAGAAGUAUUGAAGUUAAAUGCACUACAAAUUCAACUUUUGAACUCUUUAUUGAUAAAAAAUAGUCUUAUUUUUUAUUUUGAAAAGGUGAUGAUGUAUUGAGUUCUACCGGUCUGCCUAUCAAGAAACAAAUAAGCUCGGUUUGGAAUUCCAGGAAAUUAUAGUUCCCGAAUAUAACAUGUUACGGGGUAUUUUGCCCUUGUUGUUCGUAAAUCACAAGCCUUUUUAAAAAUUAAAAUACCUCCUUUUUUUCUGGUUGUUGGAUGAAUUGUUGUUAUUUGCUUAUUCUUCGGGUAAUUUCCUUCCAGGCCCAAUUCCUUAUUCAUCUCAUCUGUGUUUCAGGUAUUGAAGAGUGAAGACGAACGUCCCAUAGGUAAUCUCACUCAGUUUCUUCCUUGAAUACGAGGUCUUUGUUGUAUUUGAUUGUAUUCAACCAAUCAUCUCUUUCACUUUCCUGAUAUUUUGCUCGGAAUGAACACUGCACUACUCUCUUCGGUAGAUAUGGUGUAUCAUGUAUUGUUUUUGAAAUGCAGGUUGGUGUUAGCUGGAGAGGGUGUUGUUUAAAAAAUAAGGGCAAUAUACUUGUGCUCAGUAGUUUAUCAACCGUCAGGUCGAGCACAUCCUUUUAGCAUUAGUGCACUACUGUAAAAUCGACAAUUGAACUCGGGUAUUUGCUUUCGUUUAUUUUUUUCUUCGGAACUCUUUUGAUAGCUUUCAUUAUGAAGAGCUAUAACUUGUUUUAAUGCUUUUUUAUUUUAAUUUAUUGAAGUGAAACGUACUACAAAUUCAAUUUUUAAACUCUUUACUGAUAAAAAAUAGUCUUAUUUUUUAUUUUGAAAAUGUGAGAAAAUAAUUUACAAUUUUCAUGUGUUGAUUUUAAAAUUAAACGCAUAGUUUAUAGAUAUGAAGGUUGUUAUGAGUCGCAGUUUAUUUUCAAAUAUCCAUAAAUUUGACGGUUAAACUAAUCAGUUUUGGAACACAAGAUCAAGUGACAUGUUUUAGUUUGAUAAUUAAGUUGAAUUUGUGCUGCAGAUAUCUAUGGCUUUAUCUGUAGCAGUCAAGAGGAGAAGCCUGUUAUAAGUGUGGUAGCUGAAUUGUCAACGUCGUUCUUUAUCUUCUGUUUAUGAGAUUUAAUCAACAGUUGUCUUCAUUCACUGCGCUGCUCUAAAACUGUUUCAUGGUUUGCAGGUGAUGAUGCCAUGAGUUUAUACAGGUCUGCCUAUCGAGAAACAAAUAUUCUCGAUUUGGUUUUUUAACACAUCCGUUGCAAUUGCAACGCUUGUUCAAUGAAGCUGGAGAGCUGAUGUGGCAUUUGUGCUCCAGUAUUAUUAGAUUCUUCAAGGACGACGACCACAUAGGCCAUGAAAAGGUUUGUGAUUACUUCAGUCAAAACGCCAAAGGGUUUGGGCAUUCGAGGUGACAUUAGCUGGAGAGCAAAAAACUUAUGUUCAGGCAUUAGUUUAUCAGGUGGCAUUAGCUGGAUUUUUUAUCUGAUAAGCUCUCUUUCUAGCGUGUGCCCAUUUGCGUGAAUGUGUGUGCCUAUAUGUUCUAAUGGAGCUGUACAGGUGACAUUAGCUGUAUUUUUUCUGAUAAGCUCUCUUUCUAUGUGUGUGCCCACCUUUUUCUACGUGUCUGCCCAUGUGCGUGAAUGUGUGUGUCUAUAUAUACUAGUGGAGCUGUUGUGAUGAUUGUUGAUUAUUUUGUGGAGCUGAUAAAUUGGGCAUCUAGAAAACCCUCCCGUAGUUUGGCGUGGCGAAUCCGGAUGGGCUGUGAUUUUGGGGAAAUUUAUAUUUCCUCUGAUCGCAUGCAACCGGUGAUUCUGCAGCUAACCACGGAAUGGUUGGAUGACGUCUCUUUUCCAGCUUUAACAAUUGAACAACAGAUCUGAGCCUCACGUCCUUUAGUUCUCUGUAUCUAUAACUUGAUUACUACUGGAAUUCCAGGAAAUUAAAGUUCCCCAAUAUAAUUAUGUACGGAGUAUUUUUAAACUUACGUGAUUAUUGCCCUUGCUGAUUGUAAAUCACAAGCACUUUUUACAAAUUAAAAUAUCUCUCUUGUUUUUGGUUGUUGCAUGGAUUCGUUGGUUGUUGGGUCGAGAUAAAAGCGCAAGGACUAGAUGUGCUAUGGAAACUCUUCUAAGUGUCUUUCAGCUGACUUUCUAACGGUUUUAACAGUUCUUAUGUUGUACUACUUUCUGGACUGUGAGCUGAACUUGUUGUUAUUUGCUCAUUUUUCGGGUAAUUUCCUUCCAUGCCUAAUUCUUUAACCAUCUCAUCUAUGUUUCAUGUAUUGAAGAGUGAAGACGAGUGUCGCAUAGGUAAUCGUACCCAGUUUUUUCCUUCAACCAAUCAUCUCUUUCAAUUGCCUGAUAUUCUGUUCGGAAUAUACACUGCAAUACUCUGUUCGGUAGAUAUGGUGUAGCAUGUAUUGUUUUUGGAAUGCAGGUUGGUGUUAGCUGGAGAGAGUGUUGUUUAAAAAAUAAGGGCAAAAUACUUGUGCUCAGUAGUUUAUCAACGGUCGGGUUGAGCACAUCCAUUUAGCAUUAGUGCAAUCCUGUAAAAUCGAUAAUUAAAUUCUGGUAUUUGCUUUUUUUUUUUUUUUUUUUUGGAACUCUGUUGGUAGCUUUAAUUAUGAAGAGCUAUAACUUGUUUUAAUGCUUUAUUAUUUAAAUUUGUUUGAUUAGGUAAAAGUAUUGAAGGGAAAUGUACUACAAAUUCAAUUUUUGAACUCUUUAUUGAUAAAAAAUAUAGUCUUAUUUUUUAUUUUGAAAAGGUGAGAAAAUUAAAAAGUUUCAUGUAUUUAUUUUAACAUUAAACUUAAUAGUUUAUAAAUACGAAGGUAACUUGUUAUGAGCCGCAGUUUAUUUUCAAAUUAAACGUAUAUGUUAUUCUGGUUGCUUUCCUCAGAUUUUCUGCUUUUGGUUUCUUUACACCUUUGGUUGCUUCACAGUGCUGGUUUCGCUGCUGCGACGGGAUUCAACUUUGGAUAUCCGGAUGGGAGAACCUUUUUCUUCCAUCAACCAAUGGGAGGCCGACUAUGUGAUGGAUGUUUAAUCAUUGAUUUCCUCUGUAAGCAUAUGUAUUAUCAAUUUAUCAUGUUCUGCUCUAAUGUUUUUAAAUUACAGGAACAAAUAUACUCUCAACCAAAUACUCCACACGUCUUCUGGAGUUCAACUU